CAGGACGUAGCUAUAAUUCAAAGCAUUCAGCUUACACCUGAAAGAUACCUAUUACCUCCAGGUCGUCCUGA
This 71-nucleotide transfer RNA is filed under the name Accipiter badius poliopsis. RNAcentral describes it as "tRNA-Val". Lineage: Eukaryota; Metazoa; Chordata; Aves; Accipitriformes; Accipitridae. The record is from RNAcentral.